AAUAGCGUAUAUUAAAGUUGUUGCAGUUAAAAAGCUCGUAGUUGGAUUUCUGGUGGGAGCGAUCGGUCUGGCGCUUAGCGCGAGUACUUGCAUCGUCUCCGGCCAUCCUUGGGGAGAGUCUGUCUGGCAUUAAGUUGUCGGGCAGAGGAUCCUCAUCGUUUACUGUGAAAAAAUUAGAGUGUUCAAAGCAGGCUUAUGCCGUUGAAUAUAUUAGCAUGGAAUAAUAAGAUAGGACUUUGGUACUAUUUUGUUGGUUUGCGCACCAAAGUAAUGAUUAAUAGGGACAGUUGGGGGUAUUCGUAUUCCGUUGUCAGAGGUGAAAUUCUUGGAUUUACGGAAGACGAACUACUGCGAAAGCAUUUACCAAGGAUGUUUUCAUUAA
RNAcentral lists this ribosomal RNA (382 nucleotides) under uncultured eukaryote. Its description in RNAcentral is "partial 18S ribosomal RNA". It matches the Rfam family "Eukaryotic small subunit ribosomal RNA", at positions 593 to 976 of the family's 1831-position model. The record is from RNAcentral.